This 316-nucleotide long non-coding RNA is filed under the name Gallus gallus (chicken). The record is from RNAcentral. Lineage: Eukaryota; Metazoa; Chordata; Aves; Galliformes; Phasianidae.
CGGCUCAUCCAGCAGCAAAACCUUUGGGUUCCCAAGAACAGCAAUGCCAACUGACAGCCGUCGCUUCUGUCCCCCGCUGAGCUUCUUGGCUUGGUUAUCUCGGAUGGGCUGCAUAUCCAAAUCCAGCAACACCUUCUGCACCUCCUGUAUCAAGUCAUUCUGAGGUAUUCCUUUAAUGGCAGCGAAGAGGGAGAGGUUCUCCUCCACCGUCAAUAUAUCGAAGUGGAUGUCGGACUGUGGGCACACGCCUGCGAUGCGCCGCACUUCGAGCAUCUCGUCGAUUUCGGAGACUCUGUGCCCAUAGACAGAGACAAAC